RNAcentral lists this ribosomal RNA (495 nucleotides) under uncultured Verrucomicrobiota bacterium. RNAcentral's name for it is "bacterial SSU rRNA". It matches the Rfam family "Bacterial small subunit ribosomal RNA", at positions 355 to 842 of the family's 1533-position model. The record is from RNAcentral. Lineage: Bacteria; Pseudomonadati; Verrucomicrobiota.
UCGAGAAUUUUUCUCAAUGGGGGAAACCCUGAAGGAGCGACGCCGCGUGGAGGAUGAAGGUCUUCGGAUUGUAAACUCCUGUCAUUUGGGAACAAUUGUCACCGGUUAACUGCCGGGGGCUUGAUAGUACCAGAAGAGGAAGAGACGGCUAACUCUGUGCCAGCAGCCGCGGUAAUACAGAGGUCUCAAGCGUUGUUCGGAUUCAUUGGGCGUAAAGGGUGCGUAGGUGGCGGGGUAAGUCAGGUGUGAAAUCUCGGAGCUCAACUCCGAAACUGCACUUGAUACUGCCUUGCUCGAGUACUGGAGAGGAGAUUGGAAUUUACGGUGUAGCAGUGAAAUGCGUAGAUAUCGUAAGGAAGACCAGUGGCGAAGGCGAAUCUCUGGACAGUUACUGACACUGAGGCACGAAGGCCAGGGGAGCAAACAGGAUUAGAUACCCUGGUAGUCCUGGCAGUAAACGGUGCGCGUUUGGUGUGGGAGGAUUCGACCCCUUCU